AUUGAACGCUGGCGGCAGGCCUAACACAUGCAAGUCGAACGGUAACAGGAAGAAGCUUGCUUCUUUGCUGACGAGUGGCGGACGGGUGAGUAAUGCCUGGGAAACUGCCUGAUGGAGGGGGAUAACUACUGGAAACGGUAGCUAAUACCGCAUAAUGUCGCAAGACCAAAGAGGGGGACCUUCGGGCCUCUUGCCAUCGGAUGUGCCCAGAUGGGAUUAGCUAGUAGGUGGGGUAACGGCUCACCUAGGCGACGAUCCCUAGCUGGUCUGAGAGGAUGACCAGCCACACUGGAACUGAGACACGGUCCAGACUCCUACGGGAGGCAGCAGUGGGGAAUAUUGCACAAUGGGCGCAAGCCUGAUGCAGCUAUGCCGCGUGUAUGAAGAAGGCCUUCGGGUUGUAAAGUACUUUCAGCGGGGAGGAAGGGAGUAAAGUUAAUACCGUUGCUCAUUGACGUUACCCGCAGAAGAAGCACCGGCUAACUCCGUGC
RNAcentral lists this ribosomal RNA (491 nucleotides) under uncultured bacterium. Its description in RNAcentral is "partial 16S ribosomal RNA". It matches the Rfam family "Bacterial small subunit ribosomal RNA", at positions 30 to 508 of the family's 1533-position model. The record is from RNAcentral.